Molecule: ribosomal RNA, 492 nt
Filed under: uncultured bacterium
Lineage: Bacteria
Description: partial 16S ribosomal RNA
Rfam family: Bacterial small subunit ribosomal RNA
Source: RNAcentral
AGUGAACGCUGGCGGUAGGCCUAACACAUGCAAGUCGAACGGCAGCACAGUAAGAGCUUGCUCUUACGGGUGGCGAGUGGCGGACGGGGGAGGAAUACAUCGGAAUCUACUUUUUCGUGGGGGAUAACGUAGGGAAACUUACGCUAAUACCGCAUACGACCUACGGGUGAAAGCAGGGGAUCUUCGGACCUUGCGCGAUUGAAUGAGCCGAUGUCGGAUUAGCUAGUUGGCGGGGUAAAGGCCCACCAAGGCGACGAUCCGUAGCUGGUCUGAGAGGAUGAUCAGCCACACUGGAACAGAGACACGGUCCAGACUCCUACGGGAGGCAGCAGUGGGGAAUAUUGGACAAUGGGCGCAAGCCUGAUCCAGCCAUACCGCGUGGGUGAAGAAGGCCUUCGGGUUGUAAAGCCCUUUUGUUGGGAAAGAAAAGCAGCAGGUUAAUACCCCGCUGUUCUGACGGUACCCAAAGAAUAAGCACCGGCUAACUUCGUG